This 919-nucleotide ribosomal RNA is filed under the name uncultured archaeon. RNAcentral's name for it is "bacterial SSU rRNA". It matches the Rfam family "Archaeal small subunit ribosomal RNA", at positions 1 to 922 of the family's 1478-position model. The record is from RNAcentral.
UUCCGGUUGAUCCUGCCGGAGGCCAUUGCUAUCGGAGUCCGAUUUAGCCAUGCUAGUCGCACGGGUUCAGACCCGUGGCGAAUAGCUCCGUAACACGUGGCCAAACUACCCUACGGAGGAGCAUAACCUCGGGAAACUGAGGCUAAUACUCCAUACGAGACGCAGCCUGGAAUGGCGCGUCACCGAAACGCUCCGGCGCCGUAGGAUGUGGCUGCGGCCGAUUAGGUAGACGGUGGGGUAACGGCCCACCGUGCCGAUAAUCGGUACGGGUCAUGAGAGUGAGAGCCCGGAGACGGACUCUGAGACACGAGUCCGGGCCCUACGGGGCGCAGCAGGCGCGAAACCUUUACACUGCACGCCAGUGCGAUAGGGGGACACCGAGUGCGAGGGCAUAGAGCCCUCGCUUUUCUGUACCGUAAGGUGGUACAGGAACAAGGGCUGGGCAAGACCGGUGCCAGCCGCCGCGGUAACACCGGCAGCCCAAGUGAUGGCCGAUAUUAUUGGGCCUAAAGCGUCCGUAGCUGGCCGGGCAAGUCCGUCGGGAAAUCCACGCGCUUAACGCGUGGGCGUCCGGCGGAAACUGCUCGGCUUGGGACCGGAAGAUCCGAGGGGUACGUCCGGGGUAGGAGUGAAAUCCCGUAAUCCUGGACGGACCACCGAUGGCGAAAGCACCUCGGAAGGACGGAUCCGACAGUGAGGGACGAAAGCUAGGGUCUCGAACCGGAUUAGAUACCCGGGUAGUCCUAGCUGUAAACGAUGCUCGCUAGGUGUGGCACAGGCUACGAGCCUGUGCUGUGCCGUAGGGAAGCCGUGAAGCGAGCCGCCUGGGAAGUACGUCCGCAAGGAUGAAACUUAAAGGAAUUGGCGGGGGAGCACUACAACCGGAGGAGCCUGCGGUUUAAUUGGACUCAACGCCGGU